GAUGAAGAACGUAGCGAAAUGCGAUAAGUAAUGUGAAUUGCAGAAUUCAGUGAAUCAUCGAAUUUUUGAACGCACAUUGCGCCCCUUGGUAUUCCGAGGGGCAUGCCUGUUCGAGCGUCAUUAUAACCCCUCAAGCUCAGCUUGGUGUUGGGGCCUGCUGCACUGGCAGCCCUUAAAAUCAGUGGCGGCGCCAUCUGGCUCUAAGCGUAGUAAUUCUUCUCGCUAUGGAGUCCUGGUGGAUGCUUGCCAUCAACCCCCAAUUUUUCUAUGGUUGACCUCGGAUCAGGUAGGAAUACCCGCUGAACUUAAGCAUAUCAAUAAGCGGAGGA
RNAcentral lists this unclassified non-coding RNA (329 nucleotides) under soil metagenome. RNAcentral's name for it is "partial contains 5.8S ribosomal RNA, internal transcribed spacer 2, and large subunit ribosomal RNA". The stretch from base 1 to 120 matches the Rfam family "5.8S ribosomal RNA", at positions 35 to 154 of the family's 154-position model. The record is from RNAcentral.